Molecule: ribosomal RNA, 465 nt
Filed under: Triticum aestivum (bread wheat)
Lineage: Eukaryota; Viridiplantae; Streptophyta; Magnoliopsida; Poales; Poaceae
Description: partial small subunit ribosomal RNA
Source: RNAcentral
GGGAAGGAGUGGCAGCCCCAGCCAGAAGAGGGUGAGUGUGUGCUCUUGGCCACCCAUGUUGAUCGUGGAUUUUCCUUGCCGCCGAGUGUUUUCUUCCGUGGCUUCUUGAAUUUCUUUGGAGCGCAGCUCCACCACUUUACCCCAAACUCUAUUGCCUAUCUUGCUGCGUUCGUGUCCAUGUGUGAGGGUUUCCUGGGCUGUCGACCGCACUGGGGUUUGUUCAAGCAUAUAUUCACGUGUCGCUCUCAGACCGUGAAGAAGGCGAGCCCAGGUGAUGAGAGAACCCGAGUCGUCCAAAUGUGUGGGGGUCUGGGGAUCCAGGUGAGGAAUAAGAGCACCUUCCCACCCAUGACCUUUCCCGAGUCAGUCAGAGGCUGGCAGUCGACCUGGUUCUACUGCCAAGACCAGUCGACGCCGGGGCAGUCGAGUGGACUCCCUCAGUUUACCAUGGACCGAGUGAACAAG